GUAUUCCAGGCGCCUGCAACUAAACGUGGCCGGGUCUGCAAGCUAGGUGCCAGCGGGGAAAGUUUCCCUGCUUCUUAUCGUCUGCUUUAACGCCUUAAAUAGCCCGCUGAAGGCUGCAGCAGGUGCUAGGUAGCAGCCUCCCGGCCCUCGGGAAAGGCGGGGUGGGGAGGCGAGAGCAGCUUAGCCUCCUCGACCUCCCUUCCUGGUGACGGACGAACAGUUCCCGUAGAAUUUCGCUUCACCGAGUGACCUUGAGCCCAGGGCGACGGUCAGCUUGUUAAUUCCUGGCUGCAGGUACAUUCCGCUUCUUCCUCACCCCAGACGCCUUAAAAUACCCUAAAUUGUGUUGCUGAAAGGACCAAGCCCUGGAAGGCAGGGAUUGAGUUCUAGUCUUCUGUUUGCCAGGCUUAUAACAUUAUUAACGACGAUGAUUUUUAGUAAUAGUAAUAACAUCACCUUUUAUUAUUGGGAAGUUAUGUGCCAGCUAUUGCACUAAGUGGAAUUGUCAACUCUAGGAGUUUACAUGUUAUUCCAUUUUAUUAAUCUUUAAACUGAGGUACAGAGAGUUGGGCAUCUUGACUAAAAUCAUACACCUGGGAAAUAAUGAAGAGCUUGUCUGUCUCCAAAGCCCAGGAACAAAUUACUUAUGAACUUUGUGAGAAUUUUAAUGCAUGGAAAAGCUGUCCAUGUUCCAACUGCUGUACAUCCAAAAGUCUCAGUGUAAUAGCAGGACCAAAAUAUUCUGUCAAUCAGCUGACCAUAUACUUAAUGACUCCUAAAAUCUCGUGGACUUCUAAGUUUUCUGUUUGCCCAGAAAGCGCCAUGGCCUGUGCUGCUGUUAUGAUUCCUGGGUUGUUGCGGUGCUCUGUUGGAGCCAUCCGUAUUGAGGCUGCGUCACUGAGAUUGACACUCAGCACUUUGCGCCACCUUACUCUAACCAGCAUAAUGAAAUCCAAAAGGAAAACUGAUCACAUGGAGAGAACUGCAAGUGUCCUUCGACGGGAGAUUGUGUCAGCAGCUAAGGUGUGUGGAGCUGCCAGUGAGUCACCGUCAGUGAAGAGCCUCCGCUUGCUUGUUGCUGAUCAAGACUUUUCCUUUAAAGCUGGCCAGUGGGUUGAUUUCUUUAUUCCAGGAGUCUCUGUGGUUGGUGGGUUUUCAAUAUGCUCCAGUCCCAGACUGCUAGAACAAGAGAGAGUGAUAGAAUUGGCAGUGAAAUAUACGAACCACCCUCCUGCCCUCUGGGUUCACAAUACGUGUACACUUGACUGUGAAGUGGCUGUGAGAGUGGGUGGAGAGUUCUUCUUUGACCCUCAGCCUGCGGAUGCCUCUAGAAACCUCGUGUUGAUUGCAGGAGGAGUCGGAAUUAACCCUCUGCUUUCCAUCCUGCGGCACGCAGCAGAUCUCCUCAGAGAGCAGGCAAACAAAAGAAAUGGAUAUGAGAUAGGAACAAUAAAACUAUUCUACAGUGCAAAAAAUACCAGCGAACUCCUGUUUAAGAAAAAUAUCCUUGAUUUAGUAAAUGAAUUUCCUGAGAAGAUUGCAUGCAGUUUGCAUGUUACAAAACAGACUACACAAAUCAAUGCGGAACUCAAGCCAUACAUCACGGAAGGAAGAAUAACGGAGAAGGAGAUAAGAGAUCAUAUUUCAAAAGAGACUUUGUUCUAUAUUUGUGGCCCACCUCCAAUGACAGACUUUUUCUCCAAGCAACUGGAAAACAACCAUGUACCCAAAGAACACAUUUGCUUUGAGAAGUGGUGGUAGGAGGCAGACAAAGGCAGAAAAAAUAAAGAGGGCUGCGGUGCACACCUCCAGGGCCCCAUUCAUAUUGUAUUUGAUGUGAAUAGCGCCCUCUGCUGUUGUGCAGUGUACAACUGAGGACAAUUCCACCACGUGCUAGACCUUCCAUCUAAUAUGAGCCCAGAUACUCUCUCCGGGGCUGCUCUUGCUAAAUAACAGAGCUUCCAUAGUUUCCCCUGGAUGCCUGGCCACAUCCAGUUUCCUGUAGAAGAUCACAUCUUGUUGAUCUGCUGAUAUAAUACAAAACGAGAACACAAAUGGUAGAAAACAAACAACAAAAACUGUUUCAGAUCCCAACAAUUCAAAAAGGAGACGUCUCAGAAAGCAAGAGGAGGCCUGGACUGUGCCAGAUUUCAGUUGAGCCUCUGAGGUGAGCUCUGACAUCCACACCACUUAAAGGCAGGCAAGUCCAGCCUGGGGAAUGGACUCCAGGUUUUGAGUAGGACCGGGGGAGUCUCUGAGCUUAACCAGCAAGCCGCAGAUAAAACAGGUUGCACUGAGUUGGGGGCCUUCCCAAGCCAGAGCAUCUGUGGCAGUUGGGUGUGUCACCAAAUCCAAUUAGCCGCCCAAUUCAGAAAUAACUGUCUAAAAGAAAAAAAGAAAUCCUUCACUUUACAGCAGUGUGUGUCCAGAGUUCCAUGUCAGCAGGAGCCAAUGGAUUUAAUUUGCACAUUUUAAAAACUGCCCAUGAUGUGUCCACUUCAAGUAGUUUAGCUGGAAGGAAGUCUUCCCGAGUUGUAGAAAUCACCUACUCCCUUUGAAGAAGUUUAAUAUUUGCCUUGAAAAUCACACGCACGUACACAGAGGUUUCUUUCCAAUGCUGAAAAGUCCUGAUUAGAAAAAUCUAUCCAUGUUGCUGAUUAAAAGAAGACUAAAUAUGCCACAUCCUCGGUGUGCCAAUCUUGCAGUUUCUUUUCUUAAGUUUUAAUGCUAGACAUACUAUGUGUGUCCUCGCUAAGAAGCUGAUUACUCAUUCAUUGAUUCGACAAGUAUCUGUUGAGCACCAACUAAAAUCUGGGUACACAACACAGGAAAAAGGUCUUUGCUCUUGUGGAGACUAUGUCUGACUCUGCCUGGGAAGGAUAAAAUAAUGAUCACAAAUAACUAAAAGCCCAAAGGAGAGCUCUGAAGGAGAAGAACGUGGUUCUUUUCCAGGGUAGUACAAAGGAGUCUGGUUUGGUAUAAAAGGAGACAGCACUGUUCUGAGAAAAGGAUGCUCGAGUAGAGCUAGAAAGGAGGAGAAUGUCCUUGGCAGAGGGGACACGGAAGAACUGGAGGCCACAGAGGAGCUGGAGGCCACAGAGAAUGGGAGGCUGGCAGAGGAGGUAAGAGGGACCAGAUCCCUUGGGGCCUUGAGGGCCACAGUACUGAUUUCCAUCUUUGUCUUCAGAGUCAUACAAAACUAGAACUCCUUUGAGCAGUGGGAUGACAGGAUUCAAGUUCCCUUUUUAACAGAUCACUUGGGCUCUGAAUAGGGAACCUAUUUGAAGGGGAUAUCUAUUAUUAGGAGAUUAGAAUAGCUGAGGCGAGUGAUGGUAGAGAGAAGUGGAGGGAUUCCAGAGCCUCCGGGACCUAACACAGAUGGGUCUUAAGGAUAGAUUGAAUAUAGGGGAAGGAGAGGGGAGGGUCAGCAGGGAUAGCCCCUAAGGUGCAAUGCCAUUCCUCUAGAUAGGGUGGCGGUUGGCCAGGUGGGCGAGGUAUGGGGAGGGGGACAGUCAUAGGUUUCCUCGAGCCACAGGAUGGAUGGAGCUGGAGUCUUGGGGUGCAGUGAGGGCUGAAAAUGCAGGCGGAAUGGUCAUUGGCACAGAGGUGGUGAAGGAGAUUUUCUAAGGAAGAGGCAAGAGUGAAGGGAGAAAUGGGGCUGGGUCUGAACCCUGAGGAACUUAGUGGGAAACCAGGAGAAUGAGGUGGGAAAGAACCAAGAGAAAAGCUGCUUCAGGGAGUGGGGGUGGUCCCAACAUCCGGGCUGCAAGAGCUCAGGCAUGAUGAGGACUAGAUGGAGUGACUCUCGGUCACCAGGGGACACAGGCCUGUGGGAGUAGGACGCUGACCCUUGUCAGCUGAGGAGUGAGGAGGGGACACCCAGUGCAGAAGAUUCUUCCAAGGAGUCUGGCUGUGAAGCCCCCCUCUCUGGAGGACUCCCAUCUGUGAGGUGACCCAGAGGGUCUUGUGUAGAACAAGUGCUCCACACCAGUCACCUACAGUCUUGGAAUGAGGCAGGAAAUAAUUAGGUACAUGGAAAGAGAAAGCAGUCCACCCAGAUGAGUACAGCUGCUUGGGAUUAGAAGUUUUUACUGACUGAAAAAACAGUGGGUCCCAUCCUCUCUGAAUUUUCCCUGAGGAGAGUCAGUUCAACCUUAUUACAGCAGCUUUUACAAAUCUAUCUCUAAAGUCUCCCUGCCGACUCAAGUUUCCACUGACUUGUCCCCCUGCAUGCGAUGCCAUGACCUUCACACCAACAUCCAACCACAUGUCUCUCCUUUGGAAUCUGUGUGCCCCACCACCAGGAACCUGUUAGGCAAAGGUGGCACCAUCUCCCUCUGUAAGGCUGCAGCGGGUGUCUGUCAGCAUCUGACAGGGGCCCUUUGCGUGCUGUGUGUUGAAUGUUGCACUUGCUGAAUGCAUGCAGUUCCCGUGAGCCUGUGGCUGAGCUGAAACUGACAGCGCUCUGCAGCCGAUCCAUCUUCCAGCUGGUGGCUGCCUGCUCCUGGUGGUUGAUGGUGGGCUGGCAGUUCCCUUCUGGUCCAUUGUGCCGUCACCUGUCACAUUACACCUUCAGAGCCUGGAGAAAGACCUUCCUCCACACUCCAGCCCAUCUGGCUUCAAGUCACCAUUGCUUUGGCACUCCUUCCACAAGUGGGCUCCCCCUGGAGUUGUUGGCUGGUGAGGGGCUGCUCCAAUCUGUUCAUUUACUUGAUGCUCCUUCCCAGGGCUCUGUGUCCAAAGAACAUGAGGAACCAAGCGUGAGGAAUGCAGGAGUGAUGCCAGGAGUGAGGAGCCGAGCAGGUCAGGCAGGCCCUGCCGAGAAUGUGGCCUCAGCCAUCAAAGGUGCAGUGAGCUGAAUCCAGUGGGAAUAUCUAGCAGGCUGAAGCCUCCAGAAGAGCCUCUCUCCUCCAUCCUUCUGGCCGGCCCAGCAGGACGAUGGCAGACAAGGCCCUCCAGUCCCCUCAGCUGUCCCGUUUUAGCAGCCUGAGAUGUGAUUCGGGUUGCCAGGGGCUCAGGUGUUCCUUGGGCUCUGCGAGCCCUUGGAAGCUGGAGCAGGCUGCCCCCUCAAAUGCUGCAGAAAAUCCACUGAAGAUGAAGCCCUGCUGAGGAAAACCUAGGAAGGCCAUCAAAGUCUCUUACCUUCGAUUCCUUCUUCUUGAUUUUCUGAGGUAGACAAGGUCUCUGAAGAAAGACAAUCUGCUUGGUGGAUACACUCCCCUCGCUGUAACACACGGAGCUGAGAAUGAGCCACUUUAUGCCUUAGAGGAACCCAAAACCUGACACAGAUGUUGCCAUCCCUAAUUUCAUCAAAGCAGACCACCCACAGGAUUAUGACAGGUUAGAAGAGACGCCUGCUCUACUCUUCCGCUCCCAGGCCAUCCAACCUUGCUUCCGAGGGGCUAUCUCAGAUGCCCAACAAAAGCUUUUUGGGUAUCCCUACAAAGUCAGCUUCCUAGCUGGACACGCCCAUUCCCUUAAUGGGAAGUAACAGCAUCUUGGCCAAAUGUGGACACACUGGCUGCUUCAGUGGAUCUCAAAGGGGCAGGGGCCUUUUCCAAAUCUGUCUCUGGUAAUGAUGGGCAGGUAGAUAAGGACCUGGGUGAUGAGCUCAGCCCUCCAGCUGCUACAGGACAGUGGACAGAGGUCAUGGCUGCAUCCAGGGUCUCAGCCAUGCAUGGCUCCUGCAGGCACACCAAAGACUGCACAGCACCAGGCGGGCCCUGCAAGGCAGUGCCUGUUAACCAGCUCUGGCUCACAUGCGAGGGAGGGGCGACUCGUAUCUUACAAUACAGUGAAUUCUCUCUUCCCAGGAAGGCAGGACCUGGAGCUGCCUCUAAAGAUGAUAGAAGUAUUGUAAAGAAGAUCACUGUUUUUUUUUUCCCCUGCUUCCACCCUUCUGAUGAUUUUGUAUUUUAUUUUUAAUUUACAAAUAAUAAUUGUAUAUUUAUGGGGUAGAGUGUGAUGUUUUGAUAUAUGUUUACAAUGUGGACUGAUUAAAUCAGGCUACUUAACAAAUCCAUCACCUCACAUACUUAGCACUUUUUGUGGUGAAAACAUUUAAAAGCUACUCUUUUAGGAACUGUAAACUAUACAAGGCAUUAUUGUUUAUAAUAGUCACCAUUCUGUGCAAUAGAUGACCAAGGCUUAUUCCUCCUAACUGAAACUUUGUACCCUUUGAUCAACAUCUCUCGUUUGCCCAUCCGCCCCACUCCCCAGCCUCUGGUAAACACCAUUCUACUCUCUG
RNA transcript from Homo sapiens (human), 6247 nucleotides. It is a transcript of the gene named oxidoreductase NAD binding domain containing 1, with no coding region annotated. The record is from RefSeq and is marked validated. The transcript has 11 exons. NCBI's taxonomy places the organism in Eukaryota, Metazoa, Chordata, Mammalia, Primates, Hominidae.